This 618-nucleotide long non-coding RNA is filed under the name Nicotiana benthamiana. RNAcentral's name for it is "long non-coding RNA (NBEN_LNC021920)". The record is from RNAcentral. Lineage: Eukaryota; Viridiplantae; Streptophyta; Magnoliopsida; Solanales; Solanaceae.
AACUCUUAUACUUUUGCUUUCAGCAUUGGCGACGAACAAACGGUAGAAUUACAUGUUCAUGAAUUUGUAAACCAAACAUUUCACAGAGAUGGAUCUGACAUCUGACCAACAGGUUGUCAGAUUCACCCCUCGCCCAUUCUUUAACCUUCCUUCAACUCUGAAUCAUCAUUAAUAUUGAAAAAAACCAAUAAAAAUUCAGUCAAUUUAAGCUUAAUCAGGGUAUAUGUGUUAUUUGUCACAACAAAAAAGUUAAAAGCUUGAAGUUCAUUCAAUGAAAAAGUGAAAGCAUCACAGAUAUCUUUACCCUUACUUCAGAAAUUUGCAAAGAGUAAGAAGGAAUUCAAAUGCUUGACCACAUUUAUAAACACAAACCAAUCAAAUGCUAAUAAUGAAAAUCUAUUAUGAAUGAACUGACUUUCAAUAUGAUAAUUGAUAUUUCCUCAUAAAGUUGUUAUACAUCUAGAAAAUUACCAAAGAGCUUAUAGUAAAUUACCUCAAGACAGCUCAAAGAGAAGAAGUUAUGAUCAAAUGAAGGUCAGCAACACCCCUAGAUGUCAGAAUUCUUGGAAGGAGGCAAAAUUUCUCUUUUGUAUCAGUGUGUGCCUUUUGUCAGUGAUU